RNAcentral lists this non-coding RNA (45 nucleotides) under Schistosoma mansoni. The record is from RNAcentral. Lineage: Eukaryota; Metazoa; Platyhelminthes; Trematoda; Strigeidida; Schistosomatidae.
AUUCAGCUGAUGAGUCUCAAAUAGAAUGAAACGCGCGUCCUGGAU